CCCUUAGAUGUUCUGGGCCGCACGCGCGCUACACUGAUGCAUUCAACGAGUCUAAAACCUGCUCUGAUAGGGGUGGGUAAUCUUUUGAAUGUGCAUCGUGAUUGGGAUAGAUGAUUGCAAUUUUUCAUCUUCAACGAGGAAUGCCUAGUAAACGCAAGUCAUCAGCUUGCAUUGAUUACGUCCCUGCCCUUUGUACACACCGCCCGUCGCUCCUACCGAUUGAGUGGUCCGGUGAGGCUUUGGGAUCUGGGCGGAAAGAGCGUUUCGCUGUUUCUGCCCGGAAAACUCAGUCGAACCUUAUCAUUUAGAGGAAGGAGAAGUCGUAACA
This 328-nucleotide ribosomal RNA is filed under the name uncultured eukaryote. RNAcentral's name for it is "partial 18S ribosomal RNA". It matches the Rfam family "Eukaryotic small subunit ribosomal RNA", at positions 1470 to 1796 of the family's 1831-position model. The record is from RNAcentral.